GAUGAACGCUGGCGGCGUGCCUAAUACAUGCAGGUUGAGCGAACGGACGAGAAGCUUGCUUCUCUGAUGUUAGCGGCGGACGGGUGAGUAACACGUGGAUAACCUACCUAUAAGACUGGGAUAACUUCGGGAAACCGGAGCUAAUACCGGAUAAUAUUUUGAACCGCAUGGUUCAAAAGUGAAAGACGGUCUUGCUGUCACUUAUAGAUGGAUCCGCGCUGCAUUAGCUAGUUGGUAAGGUAACGGCUUACCAAGGCAACGAUGCAUAGCCGACCUGAGAGGGUGAUCGGCCACACUGGAACUGAGACACGGUCCAGAUUCCUACGGGAGGCAGCAGUAGGGAAUCUUCCGCAAUGGGCGAAAGCCUGACGGAGCAACGCCGCGUGAGUGAUGAAGGUCUUCGGAUCGUAAAACUCUGUUAUUAGGGAAGAACAUAUGUGUAAGUAACUGUGCACAUCUUGACGGUACCUAAUCAGAAAGCCACGGCUAACUACGUG
This 497-nucleotide ribosomal RNA is filed under the name uncultured bacterium. Its description in RNAcentral is "partial 16S ribosomal RNA". It matches the Rfam family "Bacterial small subunit ribosomal RNA", at positions 28 to 507 of the family's 1533-position model. The record is from RNAcentral.